RNAcentral lists this small RNA (2753 nucleotides) under Pongo abelii (Sumatran orangutan). RNAcentral's name for it is "retained intron". Lineage: Eukaryota; Metazoa; Chordata; Mammalia; Primates; Hominidae. The record is from RNAcentral.
UAUUUACAUUCUUUUCUUUUUUUUUUUCCCCCCCGAGACGGAGCCUCAGUCUGUCACCAGGCUGGAGUGCAGUGGCGUGAUCUUGGCUCACUGCAACCUCUGCCGCCCAGGUUCAAGCAAUUCUUCUGCCGCAGCCUCCCAAGUAGCUAGGAUUACAGGCGCCUGCCACCACCCCUGGCUAAUUUUUGUAUUUUUAGUAGAGACGGGGUUUCACCAUCUUGGCCAGGCUGGUCUUGUACUCCUGACCUCGUGAUCCACCUGCCUCGGCCUCCCAGAGUGCUGGGAUUACAGGCAUGAGCCACUGCGCCUGGCCUAUUUACAUUAUUUUCUAUUCUCACAACCAUCCUUGUCAGAUGAGUGGUGGCGUCUCAUUUUGCAGGUGAGGCAGUAGACCCUGUUACUACUAUUAGACAGUGUUCCUUUUGCAGAAGAAUGAGCACCUGCUAUGUGGGCGUUAUAUAAUAUGUAUUUAAGUUUUUAUGUGCAAAUUAUAAUAAAAGCAAAAGUUAUGCAACUAAUUUUGCUGUCUUGCUUUUUGGAAAUACCCAACUAAGGCACGGUUGUGGUUUUCAUUGUUGAAAGGGUAGCAAUGUCCAAGAAAUUUAUUGUGGUAAAGGAUUGUGGAGAUCAUUUAGUUCAACCUAUUCAUGAUACAGGUUAUUCUUUUGUCUAAGAGUACCCUUUGGGAAUGAUCAGGCACUUUUCUGUUGAUUUUUUGGAGAAAUAUGGGAGAAACAGUGGAAUAUUUUUAUGACAUUUUUAGGAAAUCACCUGGCUUGGUUGGUAGUCCCACACUGACUUUCCUUAUGAAAAUUCUACAGAUGGAGGUGACACUAGCAGUGAUGAGGAUAAAGAAGAACAUGAAACUCCUCCUGUGGAAGUAGAACUCGUGACUCAGGUUGACCAAGAGGAUAUCACUCUUCAGAGUGGUAGAGAUGAACUAAAUGAGGAGCUCAUUCAGGAAGAAAGCUCUGAAGAUGAAGGAGAAUAUGAAGAGGUUAGAAAAGAUCAGGAUUCUGUUGGUGAAAUGAAGGAUGAAGGGGAAGAGACAUUAAAUUAUCCUGAUACUACCAUUGACUUGUCUCACCUUCAACCCCAAAGGUCCAUCCAGAAAUUGGCUUCAAAAGAGGAAUCUUCUAAUUCUAGUGACAGUAAAUCACAGAGCCGGAGACAUUUGUCAGCCAAGGAAAGAAGUCAACCAACCAGUCAACAGAUGUUUUAUUGAAUGCCUAAGACCUGCCAACGCUAUGUUGGUACAAAGACUACAGAUCCCAGUGCCUGGCCAUCAAGGGAAAUGAAAAAGAAAAAACUUCCAAGUGACUCAGGAGAUUUGGAAGUGUUAGAGGGAAAGGAUAAAGAAAAGGAAAGUACUAUACACAUUGAAACUCAUCAGAACACAAGCAAAAAUGUUGCGGCUGUGCAGCCAAUAAAACGAGGACAAAAGAGUAAAAUGAAAAAAAUGAAAGAAAAAUACAAAGACCAGGAUGAAGAAGACCGUGAACUUAUCAUGAAAUUGCUGGGGUCUGCAGGUUCAAACAAAGAAGAAAAAGGGAAGAAGGGGAAGAAAGGAAAAACAAAGGACGAACCUGUGAAGAAACAGCCCCAGAAACCCAGAGGUGGACAGAGGGUCUCUGACAACAUUAAGAAAGAAACUCCGUUCCUUGAGGUUAUAACUCAUGAGUUACAAGACUUUGCUGUAGAUGAUCCACAUGAUGACAAGGAAGAGCAAGAUCUGGAUCAACAGGGAAAUGAGGAAAACCUGUUUGAUUCUUUGACAGGCCAGCCACAUCCUGAAGAUGUACUACUGUUUGCCAUUCCAAUAUGCGCCCCUUACACCACCAUGACAAACUACAAGUAAGUUACCAUUAGUUGACAGAACGGCUUUUGUGGAUUGUUUUGUAACAUCUAUUUAGUAACACAUGUAAUUCCUUUUUAAAGAUACAAAGUGAAACUUACUCCUGGAGUGCAGAAAAAGGGAAAAGGUAUUUAAAUUUGUUUUUUUGAAUUAUGAUUUUAAACAGUUCAGUGACUUAACAGUAGAUUAUUCUUACUCUUUUUUGUAUUUACAGCUGCAAAAACAGCCUUGAAUAGUUUCAUGCAUUCCAAAGAAGCAACAGCAAGAGAAAAAGACUUAUUCCGCAGUGUAAAGGACACAGAUUUAUCAAGAAACAUUCCUGGCAAAGUGAAAGUGUCUGCACCCAAUCUUCUGAAUGUAAAAAGGAAAUAGCUGAAAUGAAAUUCUAAAAUAUUUGAGAAGAACCAAUUUUAUAGCCUUUUGGAAGUUCAAAGAUGAAAGCACCACGUAUCAGGACUUCCACAUUAUAAAAAUGAACUAAACAUUGCCUUGCUAUAUUCACCAAAAGGACUUAAUUCUUGUUUUUUUCCCAGUUUUAUAUAGAGGAAACACUGUCUAUGAUAGGAUUUCCUAAAGUAUUUGUGGACAGUUAAAUGCUAAUUAUAUACAUCUGUAGUUAUUCUACAUUUUCUUGAAAUUUGGGAGGUUAAUACCAAGUAUUCUUUUCAUGAUGUAAAGAAACUGAACAGUGAAGUGGCUUGACUGCUUAAACUAUUGGCUUGGUAAGUCUACUGUAUAUAACAUCUAAAUAUAUAUUACAGGCCAGCCACAAGGGGUUUAAAUAUUUAGGAUUGUGUCUUGAAAACUAAGUAUUGGAGUAGAUUUUCUUCUGCUUUCAUCGAUACUUGUCAAAAAAUAUAUUAGACCAAAAUGUAAAAUAUAAGUAAUAAUUCUCAUG